Molecule: ribosomal RNA, 495 nt
Filed under: uncultured bacterium
Lineage: Bacteria
Description: partial 16S ribosomal RNA
Rfam family: Bacterial small subunit ribosomal RNA
Source: RNAcentral
AUGAACGCUGGCGGCGUGCCUAAUACAUGCAAGUCGAGCGAACAGACGAGGAGCUUGCUCCUCUGACGUUAGCGGCGGACGGGUGAGUAACACGUGGAUAACCUACCUAUAAGACUGGGAUAACUUCGGGAACCGGAGCUAAUACCGGAUAAUAUAUUGAACCGCAUGGUUCAAUAGUGAAAGACGGUUUUGCUGUCACUUAUAGAUGGAUCCGCGCCGCAUUAGCUAGUUGGUAAGGUAACGGCUUACCAAGGCAACGAUGCGUAGCCGACCUGAGAGGGUGAUCGGCCACACUGGAACUGAGACACGGUCCAGACUCCUACGGGAGGCAGCAGUAGGGAAUCUUCCGCAAUGGGCGAAAGCUUGACGGAGCAACGCCGCGUGAGUGAUGAAGGUCUUCGGAUCGUAAAACUCUGUUAUUAGGGAAGAACAAAUGUGUAAGUAACUAUGCACGUCUUGACGGUACCUAAUCAGAAAGCCACGGCUAACUACGUG